ACGGGUGAGUAAUGUCUGGGAAACUGCCUGAUGGAGGGGGAUAACUACUGGAAACGGUAGCUAAUACCGCAUAACGUCGCAAGACCAAAGAGGGGGACCUUCGGGCCUCUUGCCAUCAGAUGUGCCCAGAUGGGAUUAGCUAGUAGGUGGGGUAACGGCUCACCUAGGCGACGAUCCCUAGCUGGUCUGAGAGGAUGACCAGCCACACUGGAACUGAGACACGGUCCAGACUCCUACGGGAGGCAGCAGUGGGGAAUAUUGCACAAUGGGCGCAAGCCUGAUGCAGCCAUGCCGCGUGUAUGAAGAAGGCCUUCGGGUUGUAAAGUACUUUCAGCGGGGAGGAAGGUGUUGUGGUUAAUAACCGCAGCAAUUGACGUUACCCGCAGAAGAAGCACCGGCUAACUCCGUGCCAGCAGCCGCGGUAAUACGGAGGGUGCAAGCGUUAAUCGGAAUUACUGGGCGUAAAGCGCACGCAGGCGGUCUGUCAAGUCGGAUGUGAAAUCCCCGGGCUCAACCUGGGAACUGCAUUCGAAACUGGCAGGCUAGAGUCUUGUAGAGGGGGGUAGAAUUCCAGGUGUAGC
Molecule: ribosomal RNA, 581 nt
Filed under: uncultured bacterium
Lineage: Bacteria
Description: bacterial SSU rRNA
Rfam family: Bacterial small subunit ribosomal RNA
Source: RNAcentral